This 69-nucleotide transfer RNA is filed under the name Loxosceles similis. Its description in RNAcentral is "tRNA-Leu". The record is from RNAcentral. Lineage: Eukaryota; Metazoa; Arthropoda; Arachnida; Araneae; Sicariidae.
AUUAAUAUAGCAGAACAUUGCAUUAGAUUUAGAAACUAAAUAAAUUACAUAUAGCUAAAAUUAUUAAUA